This is a long non-coding RNA of Cygnus olor (mute swan), 701 nucleotides long. RefSeq lists it as uncharacterized. The transcript has 4 exons. NCBI's taxonomy places the organism in Eukaryota, Metazoa, Chordata, Aves, Anseriformes, Anatidae. The record is from RefSeq and is a predicted model, not a curated record.
UCACCAUUUCGAGGAUUUAUAUGAAAUGAAAAGACAACUUCCCAAAAACUAUUUCCUGCCUGAAAUACUACCUACCUGAUACCUGAAUGAUGAGAAUUUUGGAGGACCUAAAUUGUCACAGUUGAAACCUCUACAAAUUCUUUGCACAGACGUAUACUUUUUGUUCUAGCUUCUGACAGAAGAAGAAAAGUGAAAUUUGCUUGCAGAGCAAACGUGACUUUUCUACGUCCACAAGGGAUGACCAACACCUCUCCAGUCUCCUCCUGGUUCAGUGAAAGUACCACAGCAGCCUUCAGGCUCAGCAGUGAGUAACGAGAUCUACCCAGGCAACCAUAGCUGCUUUUCAAGCCAGUGAGAGCCGUGUAAUGUAACUGCAGGCCACGUAGAUGAGCUAAGCAAGCCAACCUGCAGCAUGGACAGCCAAGCUCCGGCCAAUGACAUCUCUUUGCUGCAGAGAACGGGAGUCUCUGCACAGGAAGACUGAAUUGCUUUGUGACCCAGGAAUGACUGCCAGAAUGUUCAGGCUCAUUAGCAGUACCUGCUGAAGUCCCCUGCAACUCAUGGUCAAGAUCACCUGCAAACUUACAAUCUUAAGGUAAAAGAUGCAGCACAACUCAACCCCAUUCUCAGAACAUCUGUGGAUCAAGAAGAUACAUACAAGUAUGAAGACUGGAAGAGAUCUGAAGAUUAAAAUACAAAAG